This 222-nucleotide unclassified non-coding RNA is filed under the name Hevea brasiliensis (rubber tree). Lineage: Eukaryota; Viridiplantae; Streptophyta; Magnoliopsida; Malpighiales; Euphorbiaceae. The record is from RNAcentral.
CACAAGAACAAGCUCUGGAUUGGAGCUUGUGCUUGUCAAUUUUCUUGAACCUUCUGAUCAGGUUCAGGCCGUAUUUGCUAUAGAUUCACGGGUCCUUUUAACUGUUAAUGGCUAACUAGAGUUAGUAUGUAUUGAUAUUUUAGUGGGUUGCUGUGUGAAAUUGUCACUGUAAUUCCAUUGUACCGGUUUUUGAGUCUUUUUAAUUUUUGUAGGUGAUGGGGG